RNAcentral lists this ribosomal RNA (232 nucleotides) under uncultured bacterium. RNAcentral describes it as "partial 16S ribosomal RNA". It matches the Rfam family "Bacterial small subunit ribosomal RNA", at positions 524 to 751 of the family's 1533-position model. The record is from RNAcentral.
UACGUAGGGUGCGAGCGUUAAUCGGAAUUACUGGGCGUAAAGCGUGCGCAGGCGGUUUUGUAAGUCAGAUGUGAAAAUCCCCCGGGCUUAACCUGGGAACUGCAUUUGUGACUGGCGGGCUAGAGUAUGGCAGAGGGGGGGUAGAAUUCCACGUGUAGCAGUGAAAUGCGUAGAGAUGUGGAGGAAUACCGAUGGCGAAGGCAGCCCCCUGGGCCCAAUACUGACGCUCAUG